ACAGGGAUUGCCCUAGUAACGGCGAGUGAAGCGGCAACAGCUCAAAUUUGAAAUCUGGCGUCUUUGGCGUCCGAGUUGUAAUUUGCAGAGGGCGCUUUGGCAUUGGCAGCGGUCCAAGUUCCUUGGAACAGGACGUCACAGAGGGUGAGAAUCCCGUACGUGGUCGCUAGCCUUUACCGUGUAAAGCCCCUUCGACGAGUCGAGUUGUUUGGGAAUGCAGCUCUAAAUGGGAGGUAAAUUUCUUCUAAAGCUAAAUACUGGCCAGAGACCGAUAGCGCACAAGUAGAGUGAUCGAAAGAUGAAAAGCACUUUGGAAAGAGAGUUAAAAAGCACGUGAAAUUGUUGAAAGGGAAGCGCUUGCAGCCAGACUUGCCUGUAGUUGCUCAUCCGGGUUUUUACCCGGUGCACUCUUCUACGGGCAGGCCAGCAUCAGUUUGGGCGGUUGGAUAAAGGUCUCUGUCACGUACCUCCUCUCGGGGAGAUCUUAUAGGGGAGACGACAUGCAACCAGCCUGGACUGAGGUCCGCGCAUCUGCUAGGAUGCUGGCGUAAUGGCUGUAAGCGGCCCGUCUUGAAACACGGACCAAGGAGUCUAACAUCUAUGCGAGUGUUUGGGUGUCAAGCCCGAGCGCGUAAUGAAAGUGAACGGAGGUGGGAACCUUUCGGGGUGCACCAUCGACCGAUCCUGAUGUCUUCGGAUGGAUUUGAGUAAGAGCAUAGCUGUUGGGACCCGAAAGAUGGUGAACUAUGCUUGAAUAGGGUGAAGCCAGAGGAAACUCUGGUGGAGGCUCGCAGCGGUUCUGACGUGCAAAUCGAUCGUCAAAUUUGGGCAUAGGGGCGAAAGACUAAUCGAACUAUCUAGUAGCUGGUUCCUGCCGAAGUUUCCCUCAGGAUAGCAGUAACGUUUUCAGUUUUAUGAGGUAAAGCGAAUGAUUAGAGGCCUGGGGGUUGAAACAACCUU
This 960-nucleotide ribosomal RNA is filed under the name Epicoccum nigrum. Its description in RNAcentral is "eukaryotic LSU rRNA". It matches the Rfam family "Eukaryotic large subunit ribosomal RNA", at positions 68 to 1048 of the family's 3401-position model. Lineage: Eukaryota; Fungi; Ascomycota; Dothideomycetes; Pleosporales; Didymellaceae. The record is from RNAcentral.